This 428-nucleotide ribosomal RNA is filed under the name uncultured bacterium. Its description in RNAcentral is "bacterial SSU rRNA". It matches the Rfam family "Bacterial small subunit ribosomal RNA", at positions 355 to 775 of the family's 1533-position model. The record is from RNAcentral.
UGGGGAAUUUUGGACAAUGGGGGCAACCCUGAUCCAGCAAUGCCGCGUGUGUGAAGAAGGCCUGCGGGUUGUAAAGCACUUUAGGUGGGGAGGAAGGCUUAUUGGUUAAUAACCAAUAGGAUUGACGUUACCCACAGAAUAAGCACCGGCUAACUCUGUGCCAGCAGCCGCGGUAAUACAGAGGGUGCAAGCGUUAAUCGGAAUUAUUGGGCGUAAAGCGCAUGUAGGUGGUUAGAUAAGUUUGAUGUGAAAUCCCCGGGCUUAACCUGGGAAUUGCGUUGAAUACUGUUUGACUAGAGUCGGACAGAGGGUCGUGGAAUUUCCGGUGUAGCGGUGAAAUGCGUAGAGAUCGGAAAGAACACCAGUGGCGAAGGCGGCGACCUGGGUCCAGACUGACACUGAGGUGCGAAAGCGUGGGGAGCAAACAG